RNAcentral lists this ribosomal RNA (839 nucleotides) under uncultured bacterium. Its description in RNAcentral is "bacterial SSU rRNA". It matches the Rfam family "Bacterial small subunit ribosomal RNA", at positions 42 to 877 of the family's 1533-position model. The record is from RNAcentral.
GCGCAGCCUACCAUGCCAGUUCGAGCGGUAGAGAGGUGCUUGCACCUCUUGAGAGCGGCGGACGGGUGAGUAAUGCCUAGGAAUCUGCCUGGUAGUGGGGGAUAACGCUCGGAAACGGACGCUAAUACCGCAUACGUCCUACGGGAGAAAGCAGGGGACCUUCGGGCCUUGCGCUAUCAGAUGAGCCUAGGUCGGAUUAGCUAGUUGGUGAGGUAAUGGCUCACCAAGGCGACGAUCCGUAACUGGUCUGAGAGGAUGAUCAGUCACACUGGAACUGAGACACGGUCCAGACUCCUACGGGAGGCAGCAGUGGGGAAUAUUGGACAAUGGGCGAAAGCCUGAUCAAGCCAUGCCGCGUGUGUGAAGAAGGUCUUCGGAUUGUAAAGCACUUUAAGUUGGGAGGAAGGGCAUUAACCUAAUACGUUAGUGUUUUGACGUUACCGACAGAAUAAGCACCGGCUAACUCUGUGCCAGCAGCCGCGGUAAUACAGAGGGUGCAAGCGUUAAUCGGAAUUACUGGGCGUAAAGCGCGCGUAGGUGGUUCGUUAAGUUGGAUGUGAAAGCCCCGGGCUCAACCUGGGAACUGCAUUCAAAACUGUCUAGCUAGAGUAUGGUAGAGGGUGGUGGAAUUUCCUGUGUAGCGGUGAAAUGCGUAGAUAUAGGAAGGAACACCAGUGGCGACGCGACCACCUGGACUGAUACUGACACUGAGAUGCGAAAGCGUGGGGAGCAAACAGGAUUAGAUACCCUGGUAGUCCACGCCGUAAACUAUCUCAACUAUCCGUUGGGAGCCUUGAGCUCUUAGUGGCGCAGCUAACGCAUUAAGUUGACCGCCUGGG